This is a long non-coding RNA of Corvus hawaiiensis (hawaiian crow), 2935 nucleotides long. RefSeq lists it as uncharacterized. The record is from RefSeq and is a predicted model, not a curated record. The transcript has 3 exons. NCBI's taxonomy places the organism in Eukaryota, Metazoa, Chordata, Aves, Passeriformes, Corvidae.
ACAAACUUUGCUGCUAUUUUGUUAACAUUCAGGAAAAAGAAAACCCUGAGCAACGUCUUCCCAGCUUUCCCAAAGCCUUCCAAGGUCUGGGAACUCACGAUACUUAGGACUGAACGAGACACAGUCUUAUCACUGUUGUGCACAGGGAACCACCGAGAAAACCCAAAGUGAUGAAGACCAUUUUUGUGUAUCAGUGAAGAUAAGGCUGGUGAAUACUUCCAAACAUUUAUUUUUUUAUCAGAUCAUCAGUGUGAUGAAGUCUAGAUGAUUUAUGAUUGACAUCCCUGGGGUCUUGCCUUCACCAGGGAAAAACACAGAGGCUGCUGCACUGACAUAUGCUUUCUCAGAGUACUACCUUCAACCUCGAACUAAGUGGCUUAAUUUUACUCAGGUUGGAAGCUGAAAAAAAAAAGUGCCAACUUUGCUGUCUUUGUUAGAGAAAAAAGUCAAGAUGUUGGCACAGAUCGGUCCCCAAACCUCAACGCAUGAUGACAAGGGAGGUUAGGGGGCUGUGUGUGCCUUGUGCUGUCUACUUCAAACCAUCAUUUUCUGUCCACCUCUGCCUCCUCCCAAGGUGCCAGGCUGAGGGGGCAUCCUCUGCCUCCCUCCUGAAGCCGGGCAGCGAUGCCAUACUGCGCAAUGCUGAGGCGGCAUGAUUGCUUCAUUCCUUCUCAGUGGUGGCUGCAUAUUAACCGUGGAUUAAUGAGCCCUCUAAGUAUUACUUAAUGCUCCUAAAAUGCUUUAUAUUUUCUACUUACAUUGUAAUCAUCAUUAAAGGAUUAAGGUAAAAAAAAAAAAAAGUAAACUUAGAUGGCUACAGUUAAGCUUCAGCAUUCUCAUUUUGUUUCUUACCUAUUUACAGCGGUGAGAUCAGUAGUGUAUCCUUUGGCCUUACUGACACCAAAAAGAUUGGCAACUUCAUAGUACUUAUGGCAACAGCAUCAGUUUUGCAGAUGGGCCCUUUGCACGCACACAGGAGGUUAACCUACUCCAGGAGAUUUAACUAUUUUGGCUUCCACCCCAAACCACUUAACUGAUAUCAAGGAAUAUUAUCCCUCACCUAAUUUACAGAGAGACAAACCAAAGACAUGAACUCCUGCAGAGAAUCCCAGCUAGAUGAUGGCUCCCACAGAUCCAGGAGCAUGAUGGAGUGCUGCAGCACAUGGAUAGGCCUGUCAGGUUUGGAGGCAGAUAGACCACACGGCCUUGGCAGGAUGCUGUGUUGAACAGAUCCUGUCUCCUGUGCAGGGCUUCUUAGCUCAGGCGCAGGACCUGUCUGAUGCAUCUAUUUAUCCCGUAGGCUCAGCCUGGCUCAUAUCCAGCUCUGCUGCAUCUCUGCUCCAUCCAUUCUUGCACCCCAGCUCCAAGACUUAGAGCAGCAGGAGACAGACAGCCUGCCAGGGCUGUUGGUAUGCCCAAAGGCUCUGUUUGUACAUGGAGGGGAAAGGCAGCUUUGGGUAGAGAGGAAAGCACAGCAAGCUCUCUGACACAGUUCCCUGUAACCUGGGCUCAGAGCACUGAGUCCCUCAUCCCUGAGGGCUCUCCAGGGAGCUCAGGCUGACUUUGCCCAUGAACUCAGGAACAGACAGAUGAGUCUUGGGGAAAUCUUGGUGAUGCCCACCAAGAUGUAGGGUUGUUCCCCAUCAGGGAAACAAAUUAUCCACAAAAACAGACCUAAGUUGUAGAACUUCUUGGCUGCAGAGGGCUGGAGUAGAUUCUUGCUCAGCUUUUAACACUCAGCUAUUUGCAAGUACUAGGUGGCACAGGUCUUCCUGGAGCACCUGAGCUGUAAUUAUGGGUCAUCCAGGACUGGAGGAGGCUGCAACCCACUGCGUGACUUGCCUGUAGAGACCCUCAACAUCCUUUUCCACAAAAAAUAACUCAGAAGCUACUUGAUCUGCAAGUUUCUUCUAAAAGCCGAGAAGCAAAAGUUACUAUUACAAAAAAUGCUGAAAGGCUGCUUUUGGCAGAUUUUCCCUAUGAGUGAGUAAUGAAAAGGUUUUCCCUUUCCCAACAUCUGCUUCAUCAGACUGAGUUCUCUUGCUACUGGCUGUUCAUUGGCCUCUGGAAAAUUCAAGUUGCUUUAGUUAAAGCAGGAAAUAAGCAAAAUACCCAGACACAGCCUGGAUUUGUCUGGGAACUGGGAUGUUCUUUUCUAAUCACUGGUUUAUUAUUAAAAAAUCAUUAAAAGCUUAUUAAGAGAUACCUCACCAGUAAGCUCAUGUUUGGCUGCAAGUGUAAAUUAUCUCCAGUUGCCUUGUGAAGCUUCUGGAGGUUAAGCUGCUUUCAGAUCUGUUUUCUGAUAGAGCCUUCAUCUUUUACCAACAGCCUGAAACAAAAUUCAGUCUUUAUAACCAGUUAUUUACAAAUCAGUGGUUAUAUUUGUGCAACCAUUCAUGACCUUAAUAUUUUUGAGUCUCUUUUAAAAAAUAUUUUCUAUGGCAGAUGAAACUCAGUAAAAGUUUCAUUUUCUCUUUAAGCUGUAUCAUUUCCCUUGUGAUUUAUACCCUUGAGAUUCCAGGCAGGAAGUGUUAUUGGACAAAGGAUUCCAGUUUGGCUGUAUGGGGAGAACCAGAAGAAGUGAUGGAAUGUGAGGAGAGAAAAUAAGAUGUGAAUGUAUCUCCAAAGCCAACAAACCUGAAACAAAACAUUUUUGAAGGACCUGUAUCUUGGGCUCCUGUGAGAUGCCUUAUGGUGAAGCUUGCUGUGGUGGCCUAGGACAUUUCUGAUUCCAGGACCAACACAGCCACUGCCAAGGCAGCAAAGGAGAACAUGUGCCUGCAUUUCAGCUGUCUCUCUAGUCUGACAUACAAAUGCAAACUAAUUCAAUAAACACACAAAGGCCUCUGAAGUGGGUUGGGGUGGUGUGAAGACCAAGCUUUGUUUCCCCCUCUGCUGCUGCUACACCAGGGCUAUGAAAGCCUUUAAAGGGCCA